UGUUCGUGCCUGAGCAUUCAGGUUGCUCAUACAUAACUGAAAACAUUUAAUUUAAGCAAGGUUGAGCAUUUGAGUGCCCAACAAGUAAUAGCAAUUAUAUAUAUAAGCUGAAAGAAUAUAAGUAUUCUCCUUACAUAACACUUCUACAACGAAUCAAAAGUUGUGAAGUAAUCUGUACUGAUAAAAAAUUCACAUAACAACUCUCUUCCAAAUUAUUUAAAUUUGGCUCUGGCUCUACCCAUGAACAGGGUUUAAGAAACAUACUAUGAAUAUUGUUUUUCAUUUUCGAAAAGGUUUAGCAGAAAUUCAUCCGCAAACCGCUCUAGCUUACGGGUACGGAGGGUGAUCAGCCCCAUUGUACCCUGUAUUGAUCAAUACUACAUAAC
RNAcentral lists this long non-coding RNA (386 nucleotides) under Panax ginseng (ginseng). RNAcentral's name for it is "long non-coding RNA (PGIN_LNC001686)". Lineage: Eukaryota; Viridiplantae; Streptophyta; Magnoliopsida; Apiales; Araliaceae. The record is from RNAcentral.